Non-coding RNA from Taeniopygia guttata (zebra finch), 4132 nucleotides. NCBI's taxonomy places the organism in Eukaryota, Metazoa, Chordata, Aves, Passeriformes, Estrildidae. The record is from RefSeq and is a predicted model, not a curated record.
UAUAAAUUCACUGGUCCUCACUUACUGGACUCAGUCUUCAAAAUGGGAAUGAAAGCCAGAAAUGCUAUAUUUAUAGUCACAGAUCCGAUUGUUGUAACUCAGAUCAGUUGAACACAAGAAUAAGCUAGAGAAACAGGAGUACCACAUAAAUCACCACUUUUAUUAAUAAUUUUCCACUGGCUUUAAUGAAGCUGUCUUCUUUAUCAUCUCAGACAUGGUGAAAAGUUACUGCACUGUCUUUGUAGAGGCCUUUUCAGUCUCUUACACAUCUAAUUACCUAAUUGAGGGACAACUAGUUUACAGAGGAACAGAAUUUUUGCUCUGUGGUUUAUUUCUUUCUGUGGUUCCCUCUGAGAUUUCUGUAUUUUUUCUUUAUGAGGGUAUCCAUCUUCCAUGGAAGUUGACUGUGUGCUUUGGAGUGCAUUUGCUGAGGAUGGUGAGCAAGAGCUGCUGAGUGUCAAUAAAAGCAGAUCCAUGAAAAAAUCCAGUUGUUAAUCCAGUUCUCCAAAAAACAACCAAUGAAAGUACAUUGGUGUCACCCUUCAGCCCCUGUGCCACGAGGGUUCCCAGAUGAAGGCAGGCAGUGUUUGUGUCUUGAGCAAAUCCUGAGUGUGCUGAUGGCUGGUCCAGCCCCACAGCUAAGCCCACAAGCAAUUCAGGCAGUAUGGCACCUGUGUAAAAGGCAGCUGAGAUGUGGGGCUGGCAGAGACACCACAAUAUCCCUCUGUGCUUGAGAACAGUCGCAAAACUUUCCGGGGGAUGGGACCCGCUGAGACUGACUGCUCUCACCAGUGCUCAGCAUCAUCUCUUUGCCAGUGGAAGAAAUUAUGACAUGUGUCUCAAGACUUGUCUUUUUAAUGCCAGUAAUGUAAUUUCUUCCUUUUUCAAAAUUGAUUCAUUUGAAGGCCUUACUUUAGGCUGGUUUUCCAUGAACAUAUUCAUUUUUUUAGAAUGAAGUCAGGUUUUCCAAUUGCUUUCUUGAUUAGUCUAAUGAAUUUUCCUCCUUUCCUGUCAUCAAAUGCACUUUCCCAGAGGAUGGGACACUUCAUCUCUGAAGGAAAAUUAUUCUUCUGUGGCAGAAAAAAAUUUAAAAGAAGAUUUUGAAAACACCUGAUGAUUACGGGGUUCUCAAUAUCUCAGGUACUCAGUUCAAAACAUUGCAAAGUGACAGCAAAUGCUGAUUACUUGCCCUCUGUUCCCUGAUGUUAUUUAUUUGAGGUGUCCUAAAUUAGCAAACAAGACCAUCAUUCAUUUUUGAACCAAAAUAUGUCUCAGAAAUUCAAGCUUCUAAUUCAGCCCCAGUUCAGAAUGCUGUCUGAAUGUUGCCAAGCAUGAAGUUUAAACAAACAGAUAAAUAAAUACUUGGCUCUUUUUAAUUGCUUCUUGUUCUCUGAACUUUCCAGGUUUGUGCUUUCAAUGUAAUUCUUUUUGGAGAGAGACUUCUGUCUCUCUUUGCUUUCUAACUAACUGGCUAGGUUAACAUGCUAAAAAAAAACUUGCACAACAGAAGGAACUUUACUAAAUAAGAUAACUCUGCCUACAGCCUUAGCCUAAGCACAGAGACCAAAGCCUACACUCACCUUGGCUUUACAUCCCAGCUAACACCAACUAGUCACUGCACAAGUGAGGUGGCAGGUACUCUUCUGGUACAAAUUACAUCACUUUUUACCUGUCCUCUUAAUAUAUAUCAAGUAUUUCCUUUUUGUAGAUUUAUUAUUUACUCUUGCUAAAAAAUGGUGAUGAUAAUGUUCACUUCCUCCCUAGGUUUGAAUACUCAAAGACACAGUGAGUUUUCACCAAAUGUUCCUCAAAGAACAACUCAGUCUGAGAAAUCCUCCUAGAAAUCCAACACUUAUGCUCAUGAUCAGCCCUGCCAAUCCACUGCAGUCUGCAAACAGCCAUAGACAGGAUUCCAAACAGUUAAUGUCAAACAGCUCAUUUUCUCUCAUCUCCAUACAAAUUCCUGUCAUGUUGCAUUACAUGUAAACAACUGAGAAACUUAAUGACAUGCCUUUCAGUCAAAAAUUCAUAUGGCUUUUCAGUCUGAGCAGAUUAAUUGCAGUUUGUAACAAUAUGAAGUGAUUCAAUUUGAUUAGAGAUUCUAUUGUUCGUUGAGAUAAAAUAUUUUAUGUGAAUCUAAAAGCAAGCUUUUUGAUGGCAUGACUUUAUUGACUUCUGUGGAAAUAUAAAAUACUCAUCUAAAAUCCAUAGUAUAUCAUUGUUGGUGUGCUGCUACAGUAAAAAAAAAAUUAUAAGCUUCUGUAAAUUAUAUGUGCCAGAUCAGAUUCCAGGCCCCAUGGAAAUGUCAUUGUCAAUGAAGUGAGGCAGUCGGAAUAUUUGGCUUUGGAGGAGACAAUUCUGAAUGAAUCUUUUAGGUUUUUAUAAUUUUAAAGGGGUUUUCUAUUUCCAUUUUUUCAGCAUCCCUGUCUUCUUCUUGAUGUCUUGCCCUUAAAAUCGGCUUGUAAUUCUCUUUAGUUUCAUUCCUAGGUACUCUAGGGUCAUUUCUCUGUUCUUGCUACAGACAUUGCUCUGGUCUUCUGUAGUCAUCCCACAGACCCAAGCCCAGAAGCCCUGCAACACUGCUUGCUGCCAAUACAGAUAAUGUGAGGAACUUCAUGAAACCUCUGGGACCAAAGGAAAAACAGUAUAUGGAAGAGUACAAGCUACUGCACUUGGAGCUGAAGCUGUGUGUUGGACAGAGGAAGCAUGUAGUUCAUAUCACCAGUGGGAUAUGUUACAUACAGAUCACAUUAAACCAGGCUGCAGAAUUGAAGAUGUUUAAGUCAACAUGGUAAAAUCCUGAAAACGUGUUAAUAAAUGAGGAAAAAAAAAUUGCAUUAUCAAAAUACUGAGUCAAAAAUACUUUGGUAUGUAAUUUAUCAAAAUUAUUUUGGUAUGCGUAGAAAUCCUUUUUACAUAGAUUCUCCAUCUUUGUCCAUUUCUCAAAGACUUUUUUUUUUUUUUAUAUAUAUCCACUCAGAGUGCAUAGAAACUUUUAGUUUUGAUGGGAGGGAUUUUGAAAUAUGCUGUUUACACACUGCAUGUAAUAAUAUGAUUAGGAGGACAAUUACUGCAAAUUCUUUAAUUUCAGAGGCAGCAGACUACUAUUGUUACCCAUGUGUUUUGUCACUUGAGGAUUGGGAUUUUUAAGUUUUGUUUAUUUAGCCUAUCUGUUUGUAAGCCAUCACUCCUUAAGAAGUACCAUUUUGGUCUCACAUUUCAGUCUCAGAUUUGGGUGACCUGAUUACUUUGAUUAUUGAGGCUUCAAAGGCAUGUGGUUCAAACUAAUGAGAAAGUGUGUACAGGAGAUCAGAUUUACUGUCUAGUCUUGGAAAACACACAAUAAUUUUUUUUCUGUUUUCAUCAGGAUUUUUUUUUUAAUAGAUAAGAAACUUUUUUUUUAUUUUUAAUAAGAAACCUGAAAAUUAAUGCCUAAAAUCAAUCAGCUACAAUUCCUAUGAGAAUGGCCUAUCUGGAGCAGCUAGGUUUAUAUCCUCAAGGGACAGGCUGGAGAAAGUAGAGGGAAAAACCAGGAUUGUUUCUGUAUUGAUACAUUGAUCUGUUUGCCAUCAGUGUUAUUGUUGUGGUGGUGACAUGGGCUGUUAUAGCUCAGAGCAAAGAAUGCAGAAAUUAAGGGGUUUGCCACUACAGCUUGAAAUACUCAAAGGUGUAGUGUUUUCAGUAAGGAGAUAAUCCAAAGCCUACAAAGGCAGAAGAAAAACAGCCUUUGGCUCCAGUGGGCAUUGCAACAGGCCUUCAGAUGACUGGAAAUCAGCAGACUUCAUACUGUGAAAUUCUGUAUCAAGAAAAUGGUCUGGCAGAAAAUGGGGUGCACUGGAAAGGAGCAAAAGAUGCCAAAACAAAGCUCAGAGAUGCUGCAAAAUCAGGGGAAAAAUCAAAGAGGAUGAAAGAACGCUGAGGGGAAGACAGAUGUGAAAUGGCAUGGAGAGCAAAAAAAAAAUUUCAAAACUCUCCAUCCAAGCCAAAGCCAGCAAAAGGCAUGGCAUGCCAACAAGGGCAGGGCUAUGGACCAAAGCUUGCCACAUUCAUCCCCAUUGAAAUUUUGCAAGACAGUAGAGAAAGUCUCCCAAAGACUCUGGAAAGGAGAUAUGAUCAGGUGAAAUGCUAUUGA